Molecule: ribosomal RNA, 553 nt
Filed under: Scophthalmus aquosus (windowpane)
Lineage: Eukaryota; Metazoa; Chordata; Actinopteri; Pleuronectiformes; Scophthalmidae
Description: partial 16S ribosomal RNA
Rfam family: Bacterial large subunit ribosomal RNA
Source: RNAcentral
GGUCCCGCCUGCCCAGUGACAUCAGUUCAACGGCCGCGGUAUCCUGACCGUGCUAAGGUAGCGUAAUCACUUGUCUUUUAAAUGGAGACCUGUAUGAAUGGCAUAACGAGGGCUUAACUGUCUCCUCUUUCAAGUCAAUGAAAUUGAUCUCCCCGUGCAGAAGCGGGGAUGCUAACAUAAGACGAGAAGACCCUAUGGAGCUUGAGACGGUAAGGCAGCCCACGUUAACCCCCCCCCCCUCCCCGGACCAAACUAAAUGGACCCCGCCUGCUUUAAUGUCUUCGGUUGGGGCGACCCUGGGGAAUACAAAACCCCCAUGAGGAAUAGGAGCACCUUCCCCCUCCCACUUACUCCUUAAAACAAGAGCCACACCUCUAACUAACAAAACUUUUGACCCAAAUGAUCGCAAAGCCGAUCAACGGANAAAGUUACCCUAGGGAUAACAGNGCAAUCCCCUUUUAGAGUCCAUAUCGACAAGGGGGUUUACGACCUCGAUGUUGGAUCAGNACAUCCUAAUGGUGCAGCCGCUAUUAAGGGUUCGUUUGUUCAANGA